This 219-nucleotide ribosomal RNA is filed under the name Salmonella enterica subsp. enterica serovar Thompson. RNAcentral's name for it is "partial 16S ribosomal RNA". It matches the Rfam family "Bacterial small subunit ribosomal RNA", at positions 1 to 218 of the family's 1533-position model. Lineage: Bacteria; Pseudomonadati; Pseudomonadota; Gammaproteobacteria; Enterobacterales; Enterobacteriaceae. The record is from RNAcentral. RNAcentral also lists the same sequence under 18 other names.
AAAUUGAAGAGUUUGAUCAUGGCUCAGAUUGAACGCUGGCGGCAGGCCUAACACAUGCAAGUCGAACGGUAACAGGAAGCAGCUUGCUGCUUUGCUGACGAGUGGCGGACGGGUGAGUAAUGUCUGGGAAACUGCCUGAUGGAGGGGGAUAACUACUGGAAACGGUGGCUAAUACCGCAUAACGUCGCAAGACCAAAGAGGGGGACCUUCGGGCCUCUU